CCUACGGGUGGCAGCAGUGGGGAAUAUUGCACAAUGGAGGAAACUCUGAUGCAGCGACGCCGCGUGAGUGAAGAAGGUCUUCGGAUUGUAAAGCUCUGUCUUCGGGGAAGAAAGUGACGGUACCUAAAGAGGAAGCCCCGGCUAACUACGUGCCAGCAGCCGCGGUAAUACGUAGGGAGCAAGCGUUGUCCGGAAUUAAUGGGUGUAAAGGGUGCGUAGGCGGGCGUGAAAGUUGAAUGUUAAAUCUACGGGCUUAACUGGUGGCUGAGUUGGAAAGUGCUUGGCUUGAGUGCAGUAGAGGCAGGCGGAAUUCCAGGUGUAGGAGUGAAAUGCGUAGAUAUCUGGAGGAACAUCGGUGGCGAAGGCGACUAUCUGGCACGUAACUGACGCUGAGGAGCGAAAGCGUGGGGAGCAAACAGGAUUAGAUACCCCUGUAGUC
Molecule: ribosomal RNA, 439 nt
Filed under: uncultured bacterium
Lineage: Bacteria
Description: partial 16S ribosomal RNA
Rfam family: Bacterial small subunit ribosomal RNA
Source: RNAcentral